RNAcentral lists this ribosomal RNA (496 nucleotides) under uncultured bacterium. RNAcentral's name for it is "partial 16S ribosomal RNA". It matches the Rfam family "Bacterial small subunit ribosomal RNA", at positions 28 to 506 of the family's 1533-position model. The record is from RNAcentral.
GAUGAACGCUGGCGGCGUGCCUAAUACAUGCAAGUCGAGCGAACAGACGAGGAGCUUGCUCCUCUGACGUUAGCGGCGGACGGGUGAGUAACACGUGGAUAACCUACCUAUAAGACUGGGAUAACUUCGGGAAACCGGAGCUAAUACCGGAUAAUAUAUUGAACCGCAUGGUUCAAUAGUGAAAGACGGUUUUGCUGUCACUUAUAGAUGGAUCCGCGCCGCAUUAGCUAGUUGGUAAGGUAACGGCUUACCAAGGCAACGAUGCGUAGCCGACCUGAGAGGGUGAUCGGCCACACUGGAACUGAGACACGGUCCAGACUCCUACGGGAGGCAGCAGUAGGGAAUCUUCCGAAAGGGGCGAAAGCCUGACGGAGCAACGCCGCGGGAGUGAUGAAGGUCUUCGGAUCGUAAAACUCUGUUAUUAGGGAAGAACAAAUGUGUAAGUAACGAUGCACGUCUUGACGGUACCUAAUCAGAAAGCCACGGCUAACUACGU